GCGAAUGUGGGUCCAGCAUGCGGGGUAAUACGUGGGCGGCAAGCGUUGUUCGGAAUGACUGGGCGUAAAGAGUGUGGAGGCGGUGUUCUAAGUCUGUGGUUAAAUCUCCCGGCUCAACGGGGAGGGUGCGCCGGAAACUGGAAUGCGCGAGUAUGGGAGAGGUAAGCGGAAUUCCUGGUGUAGCGGUGAAAUGCGUAGAUAUCAGGAGGAACACCUGUGGUGUAGACAGCUUACUGGACCAUCACUGACGCUGAGACACGAAAGCGUGGGUAGCAAACAGGAUUAGAUACCCCAGUAGUC
Molecule: ribosomal RNA, 300 nt
Filed under: uncultured Mesoplasma sp.
Lineage: Bacteria; Bacillati; Mycoplasmatota; Mollicutes; Entomoplasmatales; Entomoplasmataceae
Description: bacterial SSU rRNA
Rfam family: Bacterial small subunit ribosomal RNA
Source: RNAcentral